RNAcentral lists this ribosomal RNA (257 nucleotides) under uncultured bacterium. RNAcentral describes it as "partial 16S ribosomal RNA". It matches the Rfam family "Archaeal small subunit ribosomal RNA", at positions 471 to 727 of the family's 1478-position model. The record is from RNAcentral.
UAAUACCGGCGGCUCGAGUGGUGGCCGCUUUUACUGGGCUUAAAGGGUCCGUAGCUGGAUCUGUGUGUCCCUUGAGAAAUCCAUCGGCUUAACUGAUGGGCGUUCAGGGGAAACUGCAGUUCUAGGGACCGGGAGAGGUGAGAGGUACUGCCGGGGUAGGAGUGAAAUCCUGUAAUCCCGGUGGGACGACCUAUGGCGAAGGCAUCUCACCAGAACGGCUCCGACAGUGAGGGACGAAAGCUGGGGGAGCAAACCGG